Non-coding RNA from Paramisgurnus dabryanus, 454 nucleotides. NCBI's taxonomy places the organism in Eukaryota, Metazoa, Chordata, Actinopteri, Cypriniformes, Cobitidae. The record is from RefSeq and is a predicted model, not a curated record.
UUUACUAUUCCUGGUAAAGCGCGGAGAAGAGUGGAAUGAACAAAAAAGUCAGACCGUGACUAGAACCACCAGCAGCGUAACAAGGAAAUCUUGGAGCAAAGAGACGCCGAGUGGCUCGUGUUGUCCGGUUUGGAUAUCAGCGGCAAAGCGAACGUUGCGUGUACUAUUGCAAAAUAUAUAGCGGAUCUCCACGGUUAGGAUACAGAACACAACGCUUUGGACGUAUCUUUAAAAAAGAGAAAAAUCAGAGACUUUUUGGAUUUGUCUGGGACAUUUUAAACAUUUUGUGGCAAAUUGGAUUUAAAACGUUUCGGAUACUGGAUACAUGUGUUUGAUUUGUCCACAGAGCUUGUUUAAGACGUCUUCACCUCAUUUUAGGGUUUAUUUUUAAUUAAAGGCUUCUUAAAACAUGUGUGAAAAUGUGUAUAUUAUACAAUGAGUAUUAUAUUGACUG